GACGAACGCUGGCGGCGUGCUUAACACAUGCAAGUCGAACGGUGAAGCGCCUCCCUUUUUGGUGGCUGUGGUUGAGUGGCGAACGGGUGCGUAACACUUGAGUAACCUGCACUCUUCUUCUGGAUAACCGCAUGAAAGUGUGGCUCAUAUGGGAUCUUCUGGGUCUGUCGCAUGAUGGGACUGGGUAAGAUAUUGUUUCGGUGGGGGCUGCGCUCGCGGUCUAUCAGCUUGUUGGUGUGGUGAUGGCCUUUCAAGGCUGUGCCGGUUAGCCGGCCUGAGAGGGUGGACGGUCAGACUGGGACUGAGGCACGGCCCAGACUGCGACAGGAGGCAGCAGUGGGGAGGAUGGCGCAAUGGGCGCAAGCCUGAUGCAGGGACGCCGCGGGAGGGAUGGAGGCGUGCGGGUUGUGAACCUCUUUCGCCAGUGAAGCGGGCCUGCCUCUUUUGUGGGUGGGUUGACGGUAGCGGGAUAAGAAGCGCCGGCUAACUACGUG
This 494-nucleotide ribosomal RNA is filed under the name uncultured bacterium. RNAcentral's name for it is "partial 16S ribosomal RNA". It matches the Rfam family "Bacterial small subunit ribosomal RNA", at positions 28 to 507 of the family's 1533-position model. The record is from RNAcentral.